UAGCUUUUGAAGAGGCUAUUCACCCCCCUCUAGCCAUCCAGGAUCCUAACACUAACCGCCCACGGCGGUUCCUCCUCUCCCAUGCGUGCAUAAGCCCGGGACCAAGAGAAGUCGGCAUUUCUUUUCUCCCUCUCCGCGGCCGAGUGACCUUCCUUGUGCCCUAGCGAGCCGCGAGCCGAUUCUCCUCUUGUGUGUCGACGCCGCCUCCCUUCUUCCUCCCUGUCUCAAGCACCGGCGACGCGCGAGCACCGCCGGUCGAGCCUUUCCUUCGAUCGCAGAGCAGAGCCCUUCUCUCUGCUCUAGCGCUGUCCUCCUUCCUUCUCGUCUCUACCCAACGACGCCACCCGAGCCCUAACGGCGAAUUUGCCCUAGCCGAUGCUGUGCCCUAGUUUGUGUUCACCGCCAAGACUCCUCUCUGCCCUAGCCGACUUCACCCUCGCCCCUCUCAGCCGAUUGUCGGCCGCAACCCACAGUGCGCCUCCGACCGACGCCGACCAUCAGAUUCUGCCGAGCCCUAGAUUUCGACUGCCGGGUUCUUUCUUCAUCCAUCGCAGCAACCAUUUCAGCUUUGGUGGGUUUCCCGGAUUGCGUGCAACAGUAGAGUGCUGCUGGUCAGAUAUAAGAAUCGCCAAAGAGGAAGCGAUUGACACUGAUUUAGGUUGGAUAAUUGUAGCAUGCCAGUGUAGAAGGGAUACAAAUUGACUAAGUGUGAAUUAGGUUUAUGUUCAUGUGUUAAUUAGGGUUUUGCCCUAAUUCAAGGACUUUGACGCGAGAUGAGUCUCUCGACGUCAGAUUGGACUGUAUUGGACCUUUCUUAUUGGAGG
Zingiber officinale is the source of this 824-nucleotide long non-coding RNA. RefSeq lists it as uncharacterized. The record is from RefSeq and is a predicted model, not a curated record. The transcript has 4 exons. Lineage: Eukaryota; Viridiplantae; Streptophyta; Magnoliopsida; Zingiberales; Zingiberaceae.